AACGAACGCUGGUGGCGUGCUUAACACAUGCAAGUCGAACGAGAAAGCUCCUUCGGGAGUGAGUAGAGUGGCGCACGGGUGAGUAAUGAAUAGGAACGUACCUGUAGGCGGGGGAUAACCACGGGAAACUGUGGCUAAUACCGCAUAAUAUCGCAAGAUUAAAGAGGGCCUCUGCUUGCAUGCUCUUACCUACAGAGCGGCCUAUUUCUCAUUAGCUUGUUGGUAGGGUAAUGGCCUACCAAGGCGACGAUGGGUAGCUGGUCUGAGAGGAUGAUCAGCCACACUGGAACUGAGACACGGUCCAGACUCCUACGGGAGGCAGCAGUGGGGAAUAUUGCACAAUGGGCGCAAGCCUGAUGCAGCAACGCCACGUGAGUGAAGAAGGCCCUUGGGUUGUAAAGCUCUUUCAGCUAGGAAGAAGGGUAGAGAAGUUAAUAGCUACUUUAUUUGACGGUACUAGACUAAGAAGCACUGGCUAAUUCCGUGCCAGCCGCCGCCGUAACAC
Molecule: ribosomal RNA, 505 nt
Filed under: uncultured bacterium
Lineage: Bacteria
Description: bacterial SSU rRNA
Rfam family: Bacterial small subunit ribosomal RNA
Source: RNAcentral